CCCAAUCUAUGGCAGGCCACCUGUGAACCGACCCACGCGCAGGCAUAGCAGCAGGAAAAGGAGGCACGCAGACGCGGAGAGAGAGAGAGAGACGCCCGCGCUGCUGCCGCCGUCUCAAUCUCAACGUCCCACGGCCAGUAGUGAGGAGCAGAUCCUAAAUCACCAUCCAUCGCUGAACCGAAAGCAAACCCCACCACAACAACACCACCGCUCGCCUGCUCUCACCGACCAGCGCCGCGCCACUCCUCCGCCGGAUCUCCAGCAUGCAGCCCUCCUCCUCGUCCUCCUCCGCUCACCCGCCCGACCAUCCCAACUCCAAGCCCCCGGCCCCGCCGGCCCCCGCCAUGGGCUACCCCGCCCCCAACGGGAACCCCAGCGCCUACUUCGCCGCCGCGCCGCCCGCCGCCGCCGCCGCCAACGGCUCCGCUCCGGCGACCUUCGGCGUCGCGUACCCCUACCCCGCCCCUCCUCACCACCAUCACCCGCCGCCGCACCACCACUACCCGUAUCCCCCGCCCCCGCCGACGCACCACCACUACGCGGCCCACCCGCCGCCGCCGCCCACCUGCCUGCGCCGCCUCCUCGCCGCCGUCGUUGGCGCCUUCCUUCUCCUCGGCGCCGCCACCUUCAUAGUCUGGCUCCUCCUCCGCCCGCGCGCCCCGGCCUUCUCCCUCACCUCCCUGGCCCUCUCCCGCGUCGCUUACUCCCCCGCCAACUCCUCACUCUCCGCCUCCUUCGACGCUGCCCUCCUCGCCGCCAACCCCAACGCCAAGCUCUCCGUCGCCUACUUCUCACCCCUCGCAUCCGUCUCCUUCGCGCCCUCCUCCCCGCUCGCCGUCGCCUCGCUCGCGCCCUUCGGCCAGGGCCCCGGCAACACCACCACGAUCGCCUUCCGCCUCGUCGUAGAGGAUGCCUACGUCGGGCCCGACGACGCCGCAGCGCUCAAGACCGGCGCCGGGGGCGCUGUCGACGUCGAGGUCAGGCUCAUGGCCGUCGCCGUCUUCGACAGAGGUGGCUGGCGCACGCGCCGGAGGGUCAUGAGGGUUAUGUGCGAUGGCGUCAAGGUGGUUUUCCGCGGGAAGAAUUCCACUGAGGCGGCCUUCGAUGGGCCGCCAAGAAGGUGCGAUGUCGUGUUGUGAAGUUAAGGAUCAUCAUAACAGGUUUGCUGACUACUCUGGAUGCUGAUCGGGGGGUACAAGAAGCUAACUGGCACAAUGGGGGUGCGUUUAUCUGCAUUUGAUUUGAUGAGCAAUACUCAAGCUGGGUAACCAUGCUUUUAUCUGGCUGUAAUAGGAGUAGCGAGUGAGAGAAGUCUGGAAUGAUCCAUAUGCUUGGUGGGUAAUGAGUGGUCUGUGUAGCUUCAACAGAAAUGUUUGUGAAAGUUACGGUAAGAAUUACUGUGCACGCGUGGUGGUUAACUGGUUUAUGUGGGCGUGUGCUAUGGAGCCUCUCAUGAGUCAUGAAACGAAUCGGUGUACAUUGAACUAGCGCUUGGAAUGAAGCCCU
This 1506-nucleotide unclassified non-coding RNA is filed under the name Zea mays. Its description in RNAcentral is "misc RNA Zm00001eb198930". The record is from RNAcentral. Lineage: Eukaryota; Viridiplantae; Streptophyta; Magnoliopsida; Poales; Poaceae.